Molecule: long non-coding RNA, 192 nt
Organism: Sinocyclocheilus grahami
Lineage: Eukaryota; Metazoa; Chordata; Actinopteri; Cypriniformes; Cyprinidae
Exons: 3
Source: RefSeq, a predicted model, not a curated record
GAUGGCAGUUGUGGUGUAAGGAUGUUGAAAGAGAUUUGCAUGCUUGAAAGUAUUCCUGCUUUAAUCAUUGAAAGCAUCUGGCAUAUUGGUCUCAUUACUGGGUCAACCGCUUUAAGUUUCUUCAAGAAGCCCUGAUGCAAGUAAAAACACUUUAAUCCAAGCCCAGCAGUAUCUGGUUGACCAUCUGAAGGU